This 69-nucleotide transfer RNA is filed under the name Paraglenea fortunei. RNAcentral describes it as "tRNA-Met". It matches the Rfam family "tRNA". Rfam says of the family: Transfer RNA (tRNA) molecules are approximately 80 nucleotides in length. Lineage: Eukaryota; Metazoa; Arthropoda; Insecta; Coleoptera; Cerambycidae. The record is from RNAcentral.
AAAAAGAUAAGCUAAUAAAGCUACUGGGUUCAUACCCCAUUUAUGAAAGUUUUAGUCUUUCUCUUUUUA